AUUGUGAGAGAAAUUAUACGUACAAGUAUAAAUCCAUUAGACAUUUGAUUCCCAAAUCCAGAUCCAACACCCCUGUGCACCGUUUAUCAUCUCCCUAAAUACCUCUCUUCACCCGCUCAUGUCUCAUAUUGUCUGUAACAGAGAAACCUUUGGGGCAUUCGUCAUCCAUCCAUCGAAGUUAUCAAAUAUUCCAAGACAUUAACAAAUUUCUAUCCUUCUGAAACAUUGAACCAAGAGCUCAAACCUGCAGGCUGUAGAAAUUGCAUGCUACUAAAACUAGAUCUGCACCCUUGGCCACGAUUGUUACUAUUCACACAGCUUGUUGGGUUCAGUGAAAACAAACAAGAACACUGACUUCAAUUUGAUGAAGGACAAAUAAGAUGAUUAAUAGAAAAAAAGACAUAUUCAGAAAUAAUAGGGAAUGGGGGGGAG
RNAcentral lists this long non-coding RNA (432 nucleotides) under Olea europaea subsp. europaea. The record is from RNAcentral. Lineage: Eukaryota; Viridiplantae; Streptophyta; Magnoliopsida; Lamiales; Oleaceae.